CCCAACUGGGCAGAGGGAUCCUCCUCCUGGCAUCGCUGAAAGCACUUCAAUGCAGCCUGUCAGGAGCACCAGGAAGCUCAGAACCAACAGCAGUUUCUGCCCCAAGUGAGAAAGUGCAGGUGGGAGCUCCGGCCAAACCUCUGCUGCUCUCCAAACUCCUAAGCCAUCUUUAUCAGCACCGUUCCCACAUCAGUAUUUUCCUUGCCGCCGCAGAAGGACAUCCAGAAGUGCGGUAUCUCUCCGCACUCCUCGUUCCCCAUCUGUGCUUUACAGAACCAGGCAUUUCAAAGCACAACACACACACCGGGAUUUCAAUCCGACGCUCCUUAUCAGGCCAAUGUUUUGAUUUACUAACGGUUCACAUCGGCCUGGUCAUAGUGAAAGCAAUUCCCCAGAGGAGCUUGCCGCGGGGGUAGCAGCAGAACGAACUGCGCUGGAGUGGGAGUCAUUUGGCAGCCGCUGUCUCAUUCACACUUCCCUGCCUGGCUCCGUCAUCCCAGUUCCCCGAAAGCCUCGAUUAGCCCUUCUCAAGUUUUACUAAAGUCACUUGGCCACCGAGUUUUCGGUCAGUGCUCCUGCUCCUCGUGCUAUCAUCCACCAAAAUCAAAAGCUGCCUUCAUCCAGAGCCUUCCAGAUCCGUCCCCCAGACGCGCCACGGGUACCGCUGAUGCCACGAGCAUCCCCAGCGCCGGCUGACUCGCCUCAUGACCCUUUCCGAUGCUUGUCACCCAGGCUAACAUCUCCGUUCCCACCACUCCGGAGUGGAAAAGCAACUCGCCCCCAACUUUCGGCAGCUCUCUAAAGCAGCCCCUCCCGCAGCGGACCCCCCGCCGUCCUGCCCGUUCACCCCCGCACGCAGGGCAAGCUGCAGCGCCGCCGGCUGCCAUCCCGACCCGCUCCCAGCGCAAGCCACGCCGUGGGACCCAGCCCGAAGGCUGGGCGCUCACUCACCCGGGGGCAGCUGGAAGUUGGCCGGUAACCGGAGGGUGGCCGUGGAUGGCCCCUUGGGCGCUACCGGCCGCGGGCCCCUAGGGACGGCCGGCGGGCGCGGCGGUUGCGGGGCGGCGGAAGGCGCUGGGCUGCCGGGCACCUUGGCGGCGAGGCUGCCCCGCUCGGCCGCCGGGCCCGCGGCGGGGACGCGCAGGAGCCUCACGGGUGGCACGGCCCCCGCCGCCGCCUGCUCCGGGUGCCCGCCGGGCAUCAGCCUAACGGGGGCUGCUGCUGCCGCCGAGGUGCUCAUGGAGGAGGAGGCGGCGAGGGAGCGGGGGGCGGCCGCGUGGCGUGGGGCCCCGCAGCGCCCCGCAGCAUCGCGGGCGGGGGCCGCUCAGGCGCUGCGCUGCCGGCCGCCGGCUGGCUGACGGAAACACAU
Molecule: long non-coding RNA, 1369 nt
Organism: Pogoniulus pusillus (Red-fronted tinkerbird)
Lineage: Eukaryota; Metazoa; Chordata; Aves; Piciformes; Lybiidae
Exons: 2
Source: RefSeq, a predicted model, not a curated record